CGCAAGGAAGGAGAGCCUCAGGCAGGGCAGAAGCUGCCCUCCUUCCUCAUGCUCCCCUCUCCCUACCCCAGGGCUCGACUGGAAAAGCAGGCAUCAGUGCCUUGCCUGCCAGGCCAGAGCAGCCUGACACGGAUGAGUGAGUCAGGACCCGGGGAGAGCCCUGAGUAUGUCCUGAGAGCAGAGGGACAAUGCUCAGAGGGGCUUGGCAUUGUGGUGAUGCAGAGGGACAGAGAGAAGCCCCAAGAGAGGCGAAAUAUUGGCAGAGGGGGAGAGGGAGAGGCACAGUGUGAGCCAGAGAGACCCGGGGAGAGUAGACAGAUACAUGAGAUAGAGAGAGACGGAAACAGAGACACAGGAGGGACAGAGAGACACAAGGAGACAGAGGCACAAUGAUGGAAAAAGACGGAGAGGGAUGUAGAGAAAUAAAGAGGCAGAGUCAAGGAUGGAGAAAUAGAAGAGGGAGACAAGGAAACGGACGGAAAGAAGAGACAGACGGUCUGAGAGCGCGAGCCUAGGGGGAGAAGGCGGAGACGUGGCGAACUCCCGGCGGCUCCUGUCUCGCGAGGACCCCGUCGCGCACCUUCGGGGUUGGGCGAACGCAGCAGGUUGCGGUACAGCGGCCGCCGGAGGAAGAGCAGCUUCCAGGUCUUUGCUCAAAUGUCACCUCCUCUGCAAAGCCUUCCCUGACUACCAGCUAAAACAGGCUUCGCACCCGCUCUCCUCUUCCCUGUCAUCACAGCCUAUUCUUCACCGUCAAAGAGCCCCAAGCGGUGGCAGCCUCCUGCCUUUCACGACUGCUGGCUGGGUCACUGGCCCUCUGGCUCCUCCAGCCUUCCCGGCGCGGUGGACAUCAGCUCCCUGGAUUAAACCCCACCUCCCACCCUGGGAAACCACUGGAGGGUUGGACCAGGAACCUCGUCUGCCCGCGUGGGCAAGUGCAGCAGGAGGGAGGGAGGGGUCUGGAGGAGGAGGCCCCCGCACCACCCAAAACCAUUCUCGAAACUGCAGAUGGCGACAGCAGGCAACACGAACAGCAGAAUCUCUGUGAAACCAGACAGAUGCCCCCACCAUGUAAAGUGACCAGGCAAGUGACUCUGCCCCUGAGCUGCUCUAGGCGCCCCAUGAGAUCAGGGCACCGAGGCUGGGAGUGGAGCAAGAGCAAUGUCCUCUCCAAUGCCGGCCUUACCUGGUUCUGGUCUCUUGGGCAUCCCAGCCUCCUGAGAGGAGCCGGGCAGCUAUCCCAGUUUCUGCCACGACGUGUACAGGACAGGAAUCACCUGACCCAGCCGGCAGAACUCCUCUGUAAAAGCAUUCAGGCUCAAGGCUGCGUGUGUGUGCUGGGGGGUGGGAGUGGGGGGUGUAUUUCAGUCUUGUGUUCUAUUUCUCCUUAUGCCAGUUUUGGCAUUUUUUCCCCAGAGACAUAUCCACUUCAUCUAGGCCUCAAACACUCGUCAGAUGCAGCAGCAGCUGCCUGCGCUGGUGAGUCUUAAAUCUCUGUGAUUGUCCAUCUAGGUCAUACAUGUACCUGGCCAGGCUGUGGCAGAAAUAGUGCCUGAUUCUUAGGGGACUCGGGGCCUGUGGGCAUGGGCGUGCUGGGGGCAGGUGCUGAGGGCGGGGAGACAGGACCGAGCUGGAUUCUUUGGGCCCGGUCCCCACCCCCCCACCUCCCGCUCACAAACCAGGCCCAGGUCCCUGGUGCCACUGCCGCCUGGAAGGCUCUGGGGAGAGGGGUUCAGUCCUUGCUCUCACAGUGUCCCCAGGAGGCUGCUGCUGCCCGACACCUCCCAAGGGGGCUGGGAAGGAUGAAGGCAAAGGGAAUGCAGAAGCAGCGCUAUCACCUGUCAGGUAGCUUCCUGUCCCUCUGAGACCCGCCCAGGCUCAGCCCGG
Molecule: non-coding RNA, 1887 nt
Organism: Sus scrofa (pig)
Lineage: Eukaryota; Metazoa; Chordata; Mammalia; Artiodactyla; Suidae
Source: RefSeq, a predicted model, not a curated record